RNAcentral lists this ribosomal RNA (515 nucleotides) under uncultured bacterium. RNAcentral describes it as "partial 16S ribosomal RNA". The record is from RNAcentral.
GGAGUUAGCCGGUGCUUCUUCUGUGAGUGAUGUCCUUCCUGCCGGCUAUUAACCCGCAGGCCUUCUUCCUCACUGAAAGUGCUUUACAACCCGAAGGCCUUCUUCACACACGCGGCAUGGCUGGAUCAGGGUUGCCCCCAUUGUCCAAUAUUCCCCACUGCUGCCUCCCGUAGGAGUCUGGGCCGUGUCUCAGUCCCAGUGUGGCUGAUCAUCCUCUCAGACCAGCUACGGAUCGUCGCCUUGGUGAGCCGUUACCUCACCAACCAGCUAAUCCGACAUAGGCUCAUCCGAUAGCGCGAGGCCCGAAGGUCCCCCGCUUUCCCCCGUAGGGCGUAUGCGGUAUUAGCCUGGGUUUCCCCAGGUUAUCCCCCACUACCGGGCAGAUUCCUAUGCAUUACUCACCCGUCCGCCGCUCGCCACCAGGGAGCAAGCUCCCCGUGCUGCCGCUCGACUUGCAUGUGUUAGGCCUGCCGCCAGCGUUCAAUCUGAGCCAGNACAACACUNANAGNGCGGCG